AACGCUGGCGGCGUGCUUAACACAUGCAAGUCGAACGGAAAGGCCCUGCUUUUGUGGGGUGCUCGAGUGGCGAACGGGUGAGUAACACGUGAGUAACCUGCCCUUGACUUUGGGAUAACUUCAGGAAACUGGGGCUAAUACCGGAUAGGAGCUCCUGCUGCAUGGUGGGGGUUGGAAAGUUUCGGCGGUUGGGGAUGGACUCGCGGCUUAUCAGCUUGUUGGUGGGGUAGUGGCUUACCAAGGCUUUGACGGGUAGCCGGCCUGAGAGGGUGACCGGCCACAUUGGGACUGAGAUACGGCCCAGACUCCUACGGGAGGCAGCAGUGGGGAAUAUUGCACAAUGGGCGGAAGCCUGAUGCAGCAACGCCGCGUGCGGGAUGACAGCCUUCGGGUUGUAAACCGCUUUCGCCUGUGACGAAGCGUGAGUGACGGUAAUGGGUAAAGAAGCACCGGCUAACUACGUG
Molecule: ribosomal RNA, 464 nt
Filed under: uncultured bacterium
Lineage: Bacteria
Description: partial 16S ribosomal RNA
Rfam family: Bacterial small subunit ribosomal RNA
Source: RNAcentral